AUUAUUGGAUAAUAAAAUCAAAAUUAUUAAAAUUUACAAUAUAAAUAGUAUUUCAAUGCAAUGUAGCCUAAAUUCUACCCUCCAUGCGAUUAUUUUAUGUUCUUUUAAUUGUACUACUCGUCUUUUUAAUGAAGUGCAGUGCAACCACAAAUUGCAAUAAAUAUAUGAGUUAGCAUAAAAGUAAUAAUUUGAUAUAAUACAAUACAAUACAAUAUUAUACAAGUCGCUAAAUGAACCUAUAGAAUAUUUGUGGUCUUUGGCAAGGCACGUUUGGUCACAUUCCAUUGGCGUAGAAUUAAUUAUAAAUUAAUUAGUUGCAGUAUGUUUAAUUAAUCAACUUCGAGCACAUACAAGAAAUAAAAACAAAAAGCUAUGAAAAUUGUCCUCACCUCCCUGUCUCAAAGUUAUUACUAGAAAAGCUUCCCAGUGCCGAAUCAAGCUAAUUAUUAAGACCUUCUAAUUUCGUAUUCAUUGUAUCUUGACAUAAAUUUAUAGCCGUAAAUCAUUUAAUCUCAUCAAAUUCAAAGGUAAAGAAAAUAUAUGGAUUGACAACAUUUAAUGCUAUUUUAUUGAUAAUUUUGAAUCUCUAUCAUUUAAUUUGACAAGAUUAAUAGCUACAAAAUUUUUUAAAAAAUUUAAAUUAAAACUUUAUGUUGGAAAAACACCUAUCUUUUGAUUAACUACAAACUAUUUUAGAUGUCAAAAGAAUAAGUAGUUAGUAAGAGUUUCUAAAAUUAUCUUUGUAGCAUCAAUGAUUUCAUUUUUCAUCAGAUAGUCAAUUUAGCGUUUAAAGAACGGUCAUAAACUUGUUUCUAAAAUCCCUUUUUUUUUGUUGCUAUUUUAUAUUGUAUUUUUACAAUUUUCCAUAUCAUUAGGGGUAAAAUGUUCUUUUACUGUGAAUUUCUUAACAUAUUCUAAGAAAAUGGAAUGGAAAAGUGAAACAAUUGACGAUGCAUAUAUAAUUUCAAAAAUCUUAGAUGAUUAUUUAUACUUUUUAUAUCUAACAAAAGAUUCGCAGAUAAUAUUUGAUUAAAAUGAUUAUAAAUUAAUUAUCCUUAAUUGAAUCUUCAUUUUUGUUUCACUUAAAUCGUCUUUUAUAGUUCCAUACUAGCUGCACAAUUAAUCUCUCAAUAAAUUAACCUAAAAUUACUUGUAAGCUUAAAAUGAAUGACAAUAAAAUGCAUUAUGUGAUACCAAAUGGCAUUACGCAUGUGCUUGACAAGUAAAAUAAUUUAAUUAGAAUAUAUAAGAUUCAACAGAUAGAAUUGUCAAAAUAUUUCGAUAGCAAAAUGAUAUGUUAGAAAAUGUUAAGUGGUAAAAUGAUAAUAUUUAUAUCAUAUAUCAUAUCAUUUAUUGAUGAAAUUUAAAUUAUCAUUUAUGAUGAUUAAAUAAUUUUUAAAACCAGUAAAAAAAAGAGAAAUUGUUAUUAAUUAUUUUGAAUAAAAAUAUAAUUUAAAUAAAUAAAUCAUUUGUCAAAGGCAAAGCAGCCAAAAAUUGAAAUUGUAUGUAUUACACAUAAGCUAAAGGAAAUGUUUUUAAAGGCAAACAAUUUUUUUUAACCAAUAAAAAAAGGAUAAAAAAAUUCCAAAAAUUCUCUUUUAGUUCUUCCACUUUGGUUUACAAAAGCGAUGCAAAUCAUAACAAACUAUAUUGACAAAUCCAUUGACUCAAAUGAACUGUGCCGUUUAAUUGGCAUUAUCUUGAUGAUCGAGGGAAAAAAGAUGAUAGCAAUUGGUUAUAUGUAUCUAAAGGCUUUGAAGUUAGGAAUGGGAAAAGGUUGGGUCGGGUUCGGGCUUGGCCAAGCUCUACUCGACCAGAUCAAAAAAAUUUGAAACCCGACCUUAAAAAAACCCGAACACUGCCCGACCCCGAAUCGGGUCAACAUUGGGUCGGGACCAACCCGACCCUACCCGACCCUACCGAAAUAGUUAAGCCUCAAAUUUCCCACCAUCAUUUCAACGAAUUUAACAAUUCCUCAACCAUUUCAAACACAAUUCAAUUCCACUUUCUACAACCAUUUCAACCCCACACAUAAAUCAAUUCCAAAAUCCAACAUGGAAGACACACAAUGUAAUUCCACAACCAUUUUAGCCAUGCGCAAUUCAAUUUAACAACCCAACAUAAAAAAUAAAAAAUAAAAAACUCAUGUCUUAUACAAAUAAAAACACACAAUUUAGUUCCACAACCCAACAUUAAAAAAAUGUCUUAUACAAAUAAAAAAAUUCAUGUCUUACACAAAUAAAAACUCAUAAAAACACACAAUUUAUUUAUUUUUAAUAGGGUCGGGUCGGCUUUAAGUCCGACCCUGACCCAAAAUUUGUUCGGGCCUUAAAAUUUUGACCCUAGCCUCAAAAUUCGGGUCAAAGCCCUAAAAAUUAGGGUCGAGUUAAUCGGACAAAAAAUAGGGCCAGACUAAAUUGCCAAGCCUAUUUGAAGUGUUUAUGCAAAGCUUCGAUUGAUAAGAUGCUAGUGACUCAAAUACCAAGUUAAUUUUUCCCAAGAGAAAGCCUCUAUACUUACAUUCUUAUUCAAAUAUACUUGAGUAAUUAAAUACAAACCACUCAGGUUUUCACUUUCUUUCUCAUGUGGGAUAAAUACAUUUUUUUUAAAUUUUUUUCAACUCUAUGGAUGUAUUUUGAGUGACAAUUUCUAAUCUAUUAUUUUCAGUAUAUAAAUAUACCAUUUCAAAGUGAUAAUGAAGGAGUAUUUGAAUCACUUAUAAUGUUUCACUUACAUAAAUUAGGUCACACUCAAGAUUACGCCACAAACUAGCCACAGACCAUAAUAUUUUUCCACAUAAAUUGGGCAUUUGAGGACCCUCAAUAAUUGGUUAGAAUGAAAAUUUCAUUUGUUUCUGUAAAUUUGUGAUUCGGCACACAAGAUAAUUUGCUUACUUAAACCAUAGUAUAAAAUUUUAAAACAGUUUUCGCUGACAUCAUUAAGUUAUUGACUAGAUUCUUUAGGCUCGGGAAGUUAUGCCUGUAGGUGCACAAGUAAAAUAUUGCAAGAAUGGAUCCUUAAUAAAACGAAAACUAAACAAUCCACCAAAUUUUGUAAAAUGGGUCCCAACGAAAAUGAAAGAAAUCAGUAAUUAAUUGUUUGAUGAUUGAAUUCGUAAUUCUACAGUUUUAUUUUAAAAAAUUAAGCGGGUGCAAUAGCAUGGUUCCAUUGCAAUUAAUGCUGCUGUUUGGCAUGUUUUGCUUCUGCAAGCAUAGACAUCAUUCUUUGGAAACCAAUUUAAAAUAAAAAAAAGACAUUAUAAUUUACAAAAUUUCUGACUUAAUUAACUUUUAAAUAUUUCUUAAAGUAGGAUGUUUUUGGACAGCGAUGAAUUUGUAUAUAUGACAUUUAGAAUGAAAAAAAAAAAGCCUGAGAAUUUAAAUUUAGAAAUAUUGACGCAAAAAUUUGAAUCAAUGGUUAAAUAUGGUAAAAAUUUGAGUCUGAUUUAAUGCCCAUGUAGAUUAAGAUAUGAAUAUUAUUAUUUUUAUCUAAUAAUAGGUUUGAUCGUCUAAAUUAUUCUUAGAAGAAAAGAUAAAUAGUUAAGGUUGUUGGUGAAUUUAUCUGUGAAAACUCUUCGAUACUCAACUCAUUAACGAAAUUCUUUUAGUAAGCAAGCCCUGGGAUUGCUUGCUUUAAAGCCAAGAAGAAAGUGUGAGGAAGGAUUACUUUGUCAGUUCGUCUCGUGAUUCUGCACCGUAUGCAGACCUAAUUGGUGUUAGGGCUAAUCAACUAUUUUAAUAAUAAGAACAACAUUUUGUUGGACUUAAUUUUCUCUGCUCAAUUAGGCUUUGGAUAAAUGAUCCGUAAUGCGUUAUUCGGUUUAUUGUCAAUUUUUUUUAAGAAGCGUUUUGAUGUCAUUUGGCAAAACAUAUAACAAGAAAUAACUCUGGGCAUGAAUUAUAUGAUCAUCAGAUCCUAUUGUAUUAUAGCAGAAGCAAUAAAAAAAAAUCCUAUUGUAUUACUAUAAUAAUAGCGUUACUCUUUUUUUUUAACACCAAUAUGUAUCUUACAAUAAAAAAUGUACUGAUAUUUAUAAUAAAAAAUUAUUAAAAUUACAUUCAUUAUUAUUAAUGAAAUUUCUAUGUCACCUACGUUCAUGAGAGAAACAUUCACCCCCAUCUAUAUUAUGCAAUGGGUAGCAGUCAAGUUACGUCAACAUAUUGCAUGAUUGUAUUUUAUUUAUAGGCUAUGGCUAUGUCGGAGUAGAUUUAUGGUGGAGCAUGAAUCUCAGCCAUAUACAUAAAGUAAUAAAUAAUUAAAAACUCAUUAUAACUUUAAUAGUGUGGUUAUAAAGAGGUGUUAUAUCUUAGAACAAUUUUAACAUAACCAAACCCUUAUUUAUAUUGUGAGAGUAACAAGCGUCAAGCCAUCCAUUUUAAAGGCAGUACUCUUUGAAUAGAAUUAACGUAUGUACAAUAUUUGUGCCUUCCAUUGGCACAGAAUUAAUUAGUUGCAAUUAAAAUGUUCAAUUAAUCAGCUUCAUGCGCAUGCCAGAAAUAAAGACAAAACAGCUUUAAUUUUUGUCCUCACUUUUGUCUCAAAGUGAUUACCUGUGCCAGCGCAAGCUAAUUAUUAAGACCUGCUAAUUUCUUAUUCAUUGUCUCUUGACAUAAAUUUAUGGCCAUUAAUCAUUUAAUCUCGUCAAAUACGAAGGUAGAGAAGGUAAAUCAGUUGAUAACUUUUAAGGCUGCUUGUGACCUUGAAUCUCUACCAAUGCGCAUGCUGCCUGUUAUACCUGUAAUUACAAAAUAUUAUGAAACCGGUGCAUAAGAAAAUGAAGAAAUUAGUAAUUAAUUAAUUCAAUUAUUCAUUCGAAAUCCUAUUGUUUUAAGUAGCAAGCAUGAUUCCAUUUCAAUUCUGAAGUUUGAUUGCCAGCUCUUGUUUUUGUAAUCAUAUACAUAAUAAAUUAACUGUGUUAUUUUAUUACAUUUUAUUGGUAGGUUAUCAUGGAAUAAUCAUUUUACUGUUGUAAUGUCAGCACACUAACAAAGGUUAAUGGAAAAAUGGUUUGGUGAUACAUUAAAUAAAUUUUAACAUAGGACAAAUGAUAGUUUUUUUUUAAAGAUUAAAUAAUUGUGUAUUUGUUAACUUUCACUAAAAGUUAGGUGGAUCGCUUAUAAUUUUUUUUAUAUUAUUAUUACUACUACUACUAUUACUACUAUUAUUACUAUUAUUGCAAAGAAAUAUAGUGAUUUUGAUAUGUUCUUGUCAGAUUUAGAUUUAGUGCUGAAUUGGCCUUUUUGCUUUUUUUUUUAAAUGUAUGAUUUAUAGUUAUUGAAUAAAAAUAUAAAACUAAUCAAAUCUUAAUUUUAUGUUGCUAUAAAUACAUAUUUGGCAAAAGAUUAUGAGAAUUGGGCACACAUCAACUCAGAAUUGGAUCCAAAUCCGUUCUUGUAUAUGUACUUUGAGCUUUUGUUUUUUUUGUAAUUUCAUGUAUUUAAGUCUCAUGAAAUUGGUAAAAUAUAUUUUUUAAUUUAGUGUCAAAUUAUAAUAUUAAUUGCUACCAUUUCCAAAGCAAACAAACUUAAAAUUUAUCUUUCUAAUAUGGUUAUCCUAUGAUGCCAUAAGUUUUUUUUAGGCAUUAAUAAUGUAAUAAAUGUAUAC
This 5604-nucleotide long non-coding RNA is filed under the name Citrus x clementina. RNAcentral's name for it is "Citrus clementina (C. clementina) long non-coding RNA (CCLE_LNC004453)". The record is from RNAcentral. Lineage: Eukaryota; Viridiplantae; Streptophyta; Magnoliopsida; Sapindales; Rutaceae.